GGGGCCAUAGCUCAGCGGUAGAGCUUCUGCCUUGCAUGCAGAAGGUGCUAGGUUCAAUCCCUGGUAUCUCCA
Molecule: non-coding RNA, 72 nt
Organism: Podarcis muralis (Common wall lizard)
Lineage: Eukaryota; Metazoa; Chordata; Lepidosauria; Squamata; Lacertidae
Source: the annotation of a RefSeq genome assembly